Molecule: unclassified non-coding RNA, 161 nt
Filed under: uncultured Ascomycota
Lineage: Eukaryota; Fungi; Ascomycota
Description: sequence contains ITS2
Source: RNAcentral
UCACCUUCCAAGCCCCGCUUGGUUCAUGGGCGCCUUUGUCCCGCCUCUGCGCGCGGACUCGCCUCAAGAACAUCAGGUAGCCGGUCCUGCCAGCCCCAGAGCGCAGUAGAAACGCGCCCCCGGGCGGCGUGGGCGGCAGUCCUCGAGAAAAACGACCCCAU